RNAcentral lists this long non-coding RNA (720 nucleotides) under Cricetulus griseus (Chinese hamster). RNAcentral describes it as "lncRNA (ENSCGRG00015042492.1)". The record is from RNAcentral. Lineage: Eukaryota; Metazoa; Chordata; Mammalia; Rodentia; Cricetidae.
UCUGACUGAGAUGCUAUCUUGGUCAAGGAGAAAAGGCUCAUAGUCCAAGACCACUCCAGGUGACUGCCUGGGCUCUCCAUUAUGGAGAAACUCAGUUCCAAGAAGAAGGAAACAGAAGCUGUCAGGAUUUUAGAAUGCCCUUUCUCUACAUUCUUUUGGGUAAAGUACUUACAGGCCCAGCUCAGCUUCAAGGAAAAAAUUCGAUGGAUGGGAGAUCCCCCCCAGCCACCACCCCCCCCAACCACACAACUACCUUCCCGACUGGAACCAUUAAAGACCAGCUUGUCAUUCUGUCAUUUUUUUCUUGGGUCCUUGCCAAGCUCCAGCCAAACAAUGUCUCUCUGUGGAGUGUAUUCAGUCAGUAACAGGCAAGAAUAGCCAAGGAGGGCAAAGGGCUAGUUCUACUGGCCCGUCCAUCCACCGAAGCCCACCACUUGGCCAUGCUCAGGAAGACAUUGCCCCCUCGUGGUUCCUCUUAUAACUGAGCGAAAAGCAGAUUGCAAACACAAUCAAUAAAUCAAAACACAAAGUUUCCGAUUAAUUGUAGCUCUUCUUCUGGACCUUUUCUCCCGCUGUUCCAACGACUCUUGGUUUAUUUCCUCCCAGGAGGUACCUUUGUUACUAUAGAGCGCCGUGGCAGUAUGACAGCAACUUAAAACAGUUUCUUUUAGAAACUUUCCCACAUCUCCAGAUGCCAAAAACAAAACAAAACAAAAAAAC